Cyprinus carpio carpio is the source of this 967-nucleotide long non-coding RNA. NCBI's taxonomy places the organism in Eukaryota, Metazoa, Chordata, Actinopteri, Cypriniformes, Cyprinidae. The record is from Ensembl.
UGUUGGGAAGUUUCAUUCUUUAGUCAACAGAGCUAUCCGACAUCCAAAGUCUGAUUGAUUUUAUUCCCGUUUGAGUGUAAAGUCCCAAAGGAGCCUGUAAUUAGCAUGCAAAGGUUGUGGCAUUUUACAACUAAUUUCAAAUUAUAGAGCAAACACAGUAUGACACAAUUCAGAGCCCUGUGUUUAAACAAACCAGCAUUUUGGAUUAUAAUUGCAGAACAAGAAAAGGAAGAGGAUGUUGUAAUUCCCACUUAAGCAACUAUAUUUUCCGCUAACAAAAACUGAUUUGCCUUUCACUGGAGAUCUGGAAAACACCCCACGCCCAUGAGGGACAUCAAGUCAACACGUCUAUCGGUCAAAACAUGUUAUGCAGUAGCUAAAUGGCUUGACUAACCAUUCUCAGCUACUAGGAAAGAGGUUGUAAAUAUGUACAUGCUUUUUGUCUUUUUUUCCCCAUCACAAUGUAAAACUUCAGAUGAAGGUGCAAAUAAGUUACAUUUUCUGUUAUAUAUCUCUCACUGUAAAUGUCUUAAUAGACUUGGUCCAGCUGAUUGUGUUAUGUUAAAGACUGGGUUGAAAGAUGGCUUAGUCACUGUAGUUUUGGUCUAACGUGAGCCAGUCUUGCAUUGUGUGCAAAAUACCAGCCGGACCCCUAAACCUACAUGGCUGAAGUCAUGAUUGGGCAGUAAAAGUUGGACAGGAAGGAAGCAAUGUCUGAAAUGGCAUCUCUUUUCUUGUUUAAAGCUUAUUGCACCACCACCCACUGCUGAUAUGAUCUUAGCUGUUAGAAAGCACUCUUGAGCCACUGGUUUGACUGGAGGCUUGACAAUUGUAAAAUAGGUACAGCCCAAGAGAAGAUGGAACACUUUUGCCUGACAUUUUGACCUGACAGCAGGUCUGUCUAUAGUGGCCUCCUCAGUGGAUUAUGACUUUAAUUAAAGGGAUUGUUCACUCAAAAAUAAAAAUU